UGAAGAGAGAGUUCAAGAGAACGUGAAAUCGUUGAAGUGGAACCGGAGAGAGUUGACGUAGUAUGGUGGAUAAGUAUUGCAAGAAUCGCUUCAAACAAUGAAUGUGAUCGAGUAAUAUGUACGUCACCAAAGACUGCGCUGACAGCAUCGACUACACGCUCUGAACUGUGUUGACAUGUUGCCUAUUCUAGUAUAUAGAAUGGUGUCUUGUGUUACGUGGUGAAGUUUGUUGUUAUGUUGUUGAUGUUGAUAAGUAUGAUUAUACACCAAGUAUAAUUAUGUCAGUGUAAAAGUCAACCACCUCUCCGACCCGUCUUGAAACACGGACCGAGGAGUGUAACUUGUACGCGAGUCAUUGGGUGGAAAAACCUUAAGGCGAAACGAAAGUGAAGGCACGGUUAACCGGCUGACAUGGGAAACGUGCGGUAUUGUUAGCGAGACGUUACACCAUGGCCCUGUCUUGUCUGCAUGCAGAUGGGCAGCGGUAGAGCGUACAGGUUGCGACCCGAAAGAUGGUGAACUAUGCCUGAGCAGGACGAAGUCAGAGGAAACUCUGGUGGAAGUCCGUAUCGGUUCUGACGUGCAAAUCGAUCGAUAGACUUGG
This 604-nucleotide ribosomal RNA is filed under the name Crenosoma striatum. RNAcentral describes it as "eukaryotic LSU rRNA". It matches the Rfam family "Eukaryotic large subunit ribosomal RNA", at positions 377 to 914 of the family's 3401-position model. The record is from RNAcentral. Lineage: Eukaryota; Metazoa; Nematoda; Chromadorea; Rhabditida; Crenosomatidae.